UACGUAGGUGGCAAGCGUUGUCCGGAUUUACUGGGUGUAAAGGGCGUGUAGCCGGGUUGACAAGUCAGAUGUGAAAUCCUGCGGCUUAACCGCAGAACUGCAUUUGAAACUGUUGAUCUUGAGUACUGGAGAGGCAGACGGAAUUCCUAGUGUAGCGGUGAAACGCGUAGAUAUUAGGAGGAACACCAGUGGCGAAGGCGGUCUGCUGGACAGCAACUGACGGUGAGGCGCGAAAGCGUGGGGAGCAAACAGG
This 253-nucleotide ribosomal RNA is filed under the name uncultured bacterium. RNAcentral describes it as "partial 16S ribosomal RNA". It matches the Rfam family "Bacterial small subunit ribosomal RNA", at positions 524 to 776 of the family's 1533-position model. The record is from RNAcentral.